This 190-nucleotide ribosomal RNA is filed under the name Martes foina (beach marten). RNAcentral describes it as "partial small subunit ribosomal RNA". The record is from RNAcentral. Lineage: Eukaryota; Metazoa; Chordata; Mammalia; Carnivora; Mustelidae.
AACCAAUAAUUUACAUAACAAAAUUAUCUGCCAGAGAACUACUAGCAACAGCUUAAAACUCAAAGGACUUGGCGGUGCUUUAUAUCCCUCUAGAGGAGCCUGUUCUAUAAUCGAUAAACCCCGAUAAACCUCACCACUCCUAGCUAAACCAGUCUAUAUACCGCCAUCUUCAGCAAACAAAGAUUUGAUU